RNAcentral lists this ribosomal RNA (588 nucleotides) under uncultured bacterium. Its description in RNAcentral is "bacterial SSU rRNA". It matches the Rfam family "Bacterial small subunit ribosomal RNA", at positions 102 to 683 of the family's 1533-position model. The record is from RNAcentral.
ACGGGCGAGUAAUACAUAGGAACAUACCAUUUGGUGGGGAAUAACCACGGGAAACUGUGGCUAAUACCGCAUGGUGACGUGAGUCUAAAGAGGGCCUCUACUUGUAAGCUCUCGCCAAAUGAGUGGCCUAUGUCCCAUUAGCUAGUUGGUAGGGUAAAAGCCUACCAAGGCGACGAUGGGUAGCUGGUCUGAGAGGAUGAUCAGCCACACUGGGACUGAGACACGGCCCAGACUCCUACGGGAGGCAGCAGUAGGGAAUUUUGCACAAUGGGCGCAAGCCUGAUGCAGCAACGCCGCGUGAGUGAAGAAGGCUCUUGGGUUGUAAAGCUCUUUCGGCUGGAAAGAAGGGAUUGCUCGCGAACAGUUAGCAAUUCUGACGGUACCAGAAGAAGAAGCACCUGCUAACUACGUGCCAGCAGCAGCGGUAAUACGUAGGGUGCAAGCGUUGUUCGGAAUUACUGGGCGUAAAGGGCGCGUAGGCGGGCCUGUAUGUCGAUUGUGAAAGCCCCGAGCUCAACUUGGGAAUAGCAGUCGAAACUGCAGGUCUUGAAUGCCUGAGGGGAUGGCGGAAUUCCCGGUGUAGAAGUG